UUUCCGUAGGUGAACCUGCGGAAGGAUCAUUAAUAAUAAGUGUUUCAUGGCACUUUUUGAAAUCCAUAUCCACCUUGUGUGCAAUGUCAGGGUUGAUUUUUCUCUCGAGAGGAUCAACCCCAAACAUCAACUAUAUCUCAACUCUUUGUCUGAAAAAUAUUAUGAAUAAAACAAUUCAAAAUACAACUUUCAACAACGGAUCUCUUGGCUCUC
Molecule: unclassified non-coding RNA, 213 nt
Filed under: plant metagenome
Description: partial contains small subunit ribosomal RNA, internal transcribed spacer 1, and 5.8S ribosomal RNA
Source: RNAcentral